This is a long non-coding RNA of Carassius auratus (goldfish), 431 nucleotides long. RefSeq lists it as uncharacterized. The record is from RefSeq and is a predicted model, not a curated record. The transcript is spliced from 3 exons. NCBI's taxonomy places the organism in Eukaryota, Metazoa, Chordata, Actinopteri, Cypriniformes, Cyprinidae.
AACUUAAUUUUAUUUAACAUAAACAAUGUAAUUUUCAAAAAAUUAGGUUUACAAGAUUUUUUUAAAUUGAGUGAACAAGAAUAUUUUUCGUUCGUCUUAACCGGAUGUACGUCAUCAACUGAAACGGAUGCAGAUGGAUUGUUCAGCUGCGUACAUGUGAGAUGGAAUGGAGACCAAGCAAGAGUGCAUUCUCAAGGGGCUAUGCAUCCACCUGAAUGAAGAUCCACAGGAUCUGGUGAAUGGAGUAUUUGGAUGAUGACCCUGCAAGAAACAAAGCGGACAUUCAAGGAGACCUUUUUGGGGAUCUGUGUUGUAAAGCAUGAAUUUUCUGAUGCAACAGAAGACCCUGAAGAUAUCGGCAUUGUACUGGAAGAUGUGGAGGUGCUCUCUGGUUUAGGUAAUGUAGCAUUGGCUACAGCCCUGCUACUUGG